GAGUUUGAUCCUGGCUCAGGAUGAACGCUAGCGGCAGGCUUAACACAUGCCAAGUCGAGGGGUAACAGGGUGCUUGCACCGCUGACGACCGGCGCACGGGUGCGUAACGCGUAUACAAUCUACCUUGUACUAGGGGAUAGCCUUUAGAAAUGAAGAUUAAUACCCUAUGGUCUAUUUGAGUGGCAUCAUUUAAAUAGUAAAGAUUACGGUACAAGAUGAGUAUGCGUCCUAUUAGUUUGUUGGUAAGGUAACGGCUUACCAAGACUACGAUAGGUAGGGGCCCUGAGAGGGGGAUCCCCCACACUGGUACUGAGACACGGACCAGACUCCUACGGGAGGCAGCAGUGAGGAAUAUUGGACAAUGGGCGAGAGCCUGAUCCAGCCAUGCCGCGUGCAGGAAGACGGCCCUAUGGGUUGUAAACUGCUUUUAUACAGGAAGAAACACUCCCUCGUGAGGGAGCUUGACGGUACUGUAAGAAUAAGGACCGGCUAACUCCGUGCCAGCAGCCGCAGUAAUACGGAGGGUCCGAGCGUUAUCCGGAAUCAUUGGGUUUAAAGGGUCCGUAGGCGGGCAGCUCAGUCAGUGGUGAAAGUUUGCAGCUCAACUGUAAAAUUGCCAUUGAUACUGGUCGUCUUGAAUUAAUGUGAAGUGGUUAGAAUAAGUAGUGUAGCGGUGAAAUGCAUAGAUAUUACUUAGAAUACCAAUUGCGAAGGCAGAUCACUAACAUUAUAUUGACGCUGAUGGACGAAAGCGUG
RNAcentral lists this ribosomal RNA (756 nucleotides) under uncultured bacterium. Its description in RNAcentral is "bacterial SSU rRNA". It matches the Rfam family "Bacterial small subunit ribosomal RNA", at positions 9 to 763 of the family's 1533-position model. The record is from RNAcentral.